UAUGAUCGGUAGGGUGGGGAUCCUCUCAAAGAAAGAAUGGGUGGUGGCCACGACCCAUUUGAUAUCUUCCAGUCUUUCUUUGGUGGGAGUCCCUUUGGCGGCGGUGGUAGUAGCAGAGGGAGGAGGCAGAAAAGGGGAGAAGAUGUGGUUCACCCCCUGAAGGUCUCGCUUGAAGACCUAUACCUCGAAACAU
Arachis ipaensis is the source of this 193-nucleotide non-coding RNA. The record is from RefSeq and is a predicted model, not a curated record. Lineage: Eukaryota; Viridiplantae; Streptophyta; Magnoliopsida; Fabales; Fabaceae.